GUGGGGAAUUUUGGACAAUGGGCGCAAGCCUGAUCCAGCAAUGCCGCGUGCAGGAAGAAGGCCUUCGGGUUGUAAACUGCUUUUGUACGGAACGAAAAGGCUCUGGUUAAUACCUGGGGCUCAUGACGGUACCGUAAGAAUAAGCACCGGCUAACUACGUGCCAGCAGCCGCGGUAAUACGUAGGGUGCAAGCGUUAAUCGGAAUUACUGGGCGUAAAGCGUGCGCAGGCGGUUUUGUAAGACAGACGUGAAAUCCCCGGGCUCAACCUGGGAAUGGCGUGUGGGACUGCAAAGCUGGAGUGCGGCAGAGGGGGAUGGAAUUCCGCGUGUAGCAGUGAAAUGCGUAGAUAUGCGGAGGAACACCGAUGGCGAAGGCAAUCCCCUGGGCCUGCACUGACGCUCAUGCACGAAAGCGUGGGGAGCAAACAGGAUUAGAAACCCCAGUAGUCC
This 450-nucleotide ribosomal RNA is filed under the name uncultured bacterium. RNAcentral's name for it is "partial 16S ribosomal RNA". It matches the Rfam family "Bacterial small subunit ribosomal RNA", at positions 354 to 796 of the family's 1533-position model. The record is from RNAcentral.